This 241-nucleotide long non-coding RNA is filed under the name Elaeis guineensis (African oil palm). RNAcentral's name for it is "long non-coding RNA (EGUI_LNC064097)". The record is from RNAcentral. Lineage: Eukaryota; Viridiplantae; Streptophyta; Magnoliopsida; Arecales; Arecaceae.
CUCUAACCUCAUUGAUCCGGGCUUGAGGAUGAUGUUACAAGCCGCACACACGUCCGGCCUCUAGGAGUCAUCCACACGAGCCCACGAAUCUCGAUCAGAAGUCCUGCUUCAGGAAAUCAGCACAGUAUGCUAGUACUGCGCUGAUCCUUCUUUGAUGGUUGAUCAGGUGCCUCCUUCUUCUUGAUUUGGACUCUUCUAAAGAUGGAAAGUAGAAAGAGGAGUUUCAGAUCUGAGACGCUCU